CCUACGGGAGGCUGCAGUGGGGAAUAUUGGACAAUGGGGGGAACCCUGAUCCAGCCAUGCCGCGUGUGUGAAGAAGGCCCUCAGGUUGUAAAGCACUUUCAGUGAGGAAGAACGCCUGGUGGUUAAUACCCAUCAGGAAAGACAUCACUCACAGAAGAAGCACCGGCUAACUCCGUGCCAGCAGCCGCAGUAAUACGGAGGGUGCGAGCGUUAAUCGGAAUUACUGGGCGUAAAGCGCGCGUAGGUGGCUUGAUAAGCCGGUUGUGAAAGCCCCGGGCUCAACCUGGGAACGGCAUCCGGAACUGUCAAGCUAGAGUGCAGGAGAGGAAGGUAGAAUUCCCGGUGUAGCGGUGAAAUGCGUAGAGAUCGGGAGGAAUACCAGUGGCGAAGGCGGCCUUCUGGACUGACACUGACACUGAGGUGCGAAAGCGUGGGUAGCAAACAGGAUUAGAUACCCGAGUAGUC
RNAcentral lists this ribosomal RNA (465 nucleotides) under Vreelandella stevensii. RNAcentral's name for it is "partial 16S ribosomal RNA". It matches the Rfam family "Bacterial small subunit ribosomal RNA", at positions 338 to 795 of the family's 1533-position model. The record is from RNAcentral. Lineage: Bacteria; Pseudomonadati; Pseudomonadota; Gammaproteobacteria; Oceanospirillales; Halomonadaceae.